CCUCAAAUCCCUGUUGCCUCUUUUUUGUCUCUGCACAACCUCCUUGCCUCCUGAGAGCAUUGCUGGUCCAUCUCUCAGACAAGCUCAAGAAGAGAAAUACACCCACCAGAGUACUCUGCAAGUUACACCUUCAUCUUGCUUAGGAAAUUAAGAUGCCCAGGACAACUCCACACCAUGCUCUGUGCCUAGGAAUCCCCAGAGGAUACUCCUGUCUCUCCUUACCGUAUUAUGUUGCUGUCCUUGGCCCAGAUCCUGAGCUACUUUCCAACUCUUCAAGCAACACUGAGAAAAGUCAGGUCUCAAUUCUUAGAGAACUCUAUGAUCAAACCAGGGAUCUGGACCCAAAGGUUGCCAAAGCCUGCAUAAGCACUUCCUCUCCAACCCAUCUGGCUGUGCAGCAUCACACUGCAGAAACUCUUAUGCAGCAGCAGAAGAAAAGAAAACAGCUGGGGAAAGGUUACCACGUCACAUGCCCUCCUCCACAGAUGCUAUAAGCUGAUAUGUUCAGCUCUCAGUAUCCGGGGUAAUGAGGUCAAAGAAAGAAAAGCAAAACUAAUAAUACAAAAUAUAUGUAAAUAAGGCAUAUAGGAAUGCAAUACUUUAAUACCUUUACCUUUGAAAAAGAAGUCUAAGAAGCAGCAUGAUGUUAUAAAUAAAGAGAAAAAACCAUUGUACAUUACACUUUAUAAUGGCUCUGAAAGAGUUCUGCAUUUUUUAAACAUGGCACAUCUAAUCUGUAGCUCUGAGAAUGCACCCACAGAUAAUCGAGAGUUGACUGUAAAAAAUCUUUUUUUGAAUGACAGCUUGAAAAGUUCAUGCACAUUUCUCAUGACAAAUCCCCUAAUUAUCAUUUCCAUCAAUAGACUGUUAACAUAUAUUCCGGGCACUACAGGCAGCAGAAAAAACCCAAGUGGGAAGCACCAGAGAUUAAUCGUUCAGAUUAUAAAGAGCCCAAAUUUCAGAGUUGCAAAAGGCCAGCAGUCAGCUUGGACGAGGAUGGAAUUUCUACAUACACACCAAGAGUGCCUACUGGGUCAAUGUUACA
Oenanthe melanoleuca is the source of this 1045-nucleotide long non-coding RNA. RefSeq lists it as uncharacterized. Lineage: Eukaryota; Metazoa; Chordata; Aves; Passeriformes; Muscicapidae. The record is from RefSeq and is a predicted model, not a curated record. The transcript has 4 exons.